This 1459-nucleotide ribosomal RNA is filed under the name Campylobacter rectus. It matches the Rfam family "Bacterial small subunit ribosomal RNA". Lineage: Bacteria; Pseudomonadati; Campylobacterota; Epsilonproteobacteria; Campylobacterales; Campylobacteraceae. The record is from RNAcentral.
NAUAUGGAGAGUUUGAUCCUGGCUCAGAGUGAACGCUGGCGGCGUGCCUAAUACAUGCAAGUCGAACGGAGAUUAAGUAGCUUGCUAUUUAAUCUNAGUGGCGCACGGGUGAGUAAUAUAUAGCUAAUCUGCCCUACACUAGAGGACAACAGUUGGAAACGACUGCUNAUACUCUAUACUCCUUCUUUACAUAAGUUAAGUCGGGAAAGUNUUUCGGUGUAGGAUGAGGCUAUAUCGUAUCAGCUAGUUGGUAGGGUAACGGCCUACCAAGGCUAUGACGCGUAACUGGUCUGAGAGGAUGAUCAGUCACACUGGAACUGAGACACGGUCCAGACUCCUACGGGAGGCAGCAGUAGGGAAUAUUGCUCAAUGGGGGAAACCCUGAAGCAGCAACGCCGCGUGGAGGAUGACACUUUUCGGAGCGUAAACUCCNUUUCUUGGGAAAGAAUUAUGACGGUACCCAAGGAAUAAGCACCGGCUAACUCCGUGCCAGCAGCCGCGGUNAUACGGAGGGUGCNAGCGUUACUCGGAAUCACUGGGCGUAAAGGACGCGUAGGCGGAUUAUCAAGUCUCUUGUGAAAUCUAACGGCUUAACCGUUAAACUGCUUGGGAAACUGAUAAUCUAGAGUAAGGGAGAGGCAGAUGGAAUUCUUGGUGUAGGGGUAAAAUCCGUAGAGAUCAAGAAGAAUACCCAUUGCGAAAGCGAUCUGCUGGAACUUAACUGACGCUAAUGCGUGAAAGCGUGGGGAGCAAACAGGAUUAGAUACCCUGGUAGUCCACGCCCUAAACGAUGUAUACUAGUUGUUGCUUCGCUAGUCGAGGCAGUAAUGCACCUAACGGAUUAAGUAUACCGCCUGGGGAGUACGGUCGCAAGAUUAAAACUCAAAGGAAUAGACGGGGACCCGCACAAGCGGUGGANNNNGUGGUUUAAUUCGANNNUACGCGAAGAACCUUACCCGGACUUGAUAUCUAACAAAUCAUCCAGAGAUGGAAGAGUGUCUGCUUGCAGAAAUGUUAAGACAGGUGCUGCACGGCUGUCGUCAGCUCGUGUCGUGAGAUGUUGGGUUAAGUCCCGCAACGAGCGCAACCCACGUCAUUAGUUGCUAACGGUUCGGCCGAGCNCUCUAAUGAGACUGCCUUCGUNAAGGAGGAGGAAGGUGUGGACGACGUCAAGUCAUCAUGGCCCUUAUGUCCGGGGCGACACACGUGCUACAAUGGCGUAUACAAUAAGACGCAAUAUCGCGAGAUGGAGNAAAUCUAUAAAAUACGUCCCAGUUCGGAUUGGAGUCUGCAACUCGACUCCAUGAAGCCGGAAUCGCUAGUAAUCGUAGAUCAGCCAUGCUACGGUGAAUACGUUCCCGGGUCUUGUACUCACCGCCCGUCACACCAUGGGAGUUGAUUUCACUCGAAGCCCAAAUACCAAACCGGUUAUGGUCCACAGUGGAAUCAGCGNCUNGGG